RNAcentral lists this transfer RNA (77 nucleotides) under Megasphaera vaginalis (ex Srinivasan et al. 2021). RNAcentral describes it as "Megasphaera sp. BV3C16-1 tRNA-Arg". It matches the Rfam family "tRNA". From Rfam's summary of the family: Transfer RNA (tRNA) molecules are approximately 80 nucleotides in length. Their secondary structure includes four short double-helical elements and three loops (D, anti-codon, and T loops). Lineage: Bacteria; Bacillati; Bacillota; Negativicutes; Veillonellales; Veillonellaceae. The record is from RNAcentral.
GCGUCCAUAGCUCAGUAGGAUAGAGCGGUGGUUUCCUAAACCAUGUGUCGUGGGUUCGAUUCCCUCUGGGCGCACCA